This 7437-nucleotide long non-coding RNA is filed under the name Mus musculus (house mouse). RNAcentral's name for it is "long non-coding RNA chr10:78766858-78774295". The record is from RNAcentral. Lineage: Eukaryota; Metazoa; Chordata; Mammalia; Rodentia; Muridae.
GCCCUUAAAGAGGAAACACAAAAAUCCCUUGAAGAAUUACAGAGAAACACAAACAUUGAAGGAAUUGAACAAAACCAUCCAGGAUCUUUUGUUUGUUUGUUUGUUUUUCAUUUGUUUGUUUUUGUUUUUGUUUUUUUUUUUUUGAGAUAGGGUUUCUCUGUGUAGCCCUGGCUUUUCUGUACUCUAUAGACCAGGCUGGCCUUGAACUCAGAAAUCCACCUGCCUCUGCCUCCCAGUGCUGGGAUUAUAUGUGCCACCACUGCCUGGCAACCAUCUAGGAUCUAAAAAUGGAAAUAGAAACAAUAAAGAAAUCACAAAAGGAGACAACACUGGAGUUAGAAAACCUAGGAAAGAGAUCAGGAGUCAUAGAUGCAAGCAUCACUAACAGAAUACAAGGGAUACAAGAGAGAAUCUCAGGUGCAGAAGAUACCAUAGAAAUCCUUGACACAACAGUCAAAGAAAAUGCAAAAAGCAAAAAGCUCCCAACCCAAAACAUCCAGGAAAACUAGGACACAACAAGAAGAGCAAACCUAAGGAUAAUACAUAUAGAAGAGAGUGAAGAUUCCUAACUUAAAGGGCCAGUAAAUAUCUUCAACAAAACAAUAGAAAAAACUUCCCUAACCUAAAGAAAGAGAUGCCAUCAACACACAAGAAGCCUAUGGAACUCUAAAUAGAUUGGACCAGAAAAGAAAUUCCUCCGUCACAUAAUAGUCAAAACACCAAAUGCACAAAACAAAGAAAGAAUAUUAAAAGCAGUAAGGGGAAAAGGUCUAGUAACAUAUAAAGGCAGGCCUAUCAGGAUUACACCAGACUUCUCACCAGAGACUAUGAAAGCUAGAAAAUCCUGGGCAGAUGUCAUACAGACCCUAAGAGAACACAAAUGCCAGCCCAGGCUACUAUACUCAGCAAAACUCUCAAUUACCAUAGAUGGAUAAAUUAAGAUAUUCCAUGACAAAACCAAAUUUACACAAUAUUUUUCCCCAAACCCAGCUCUACACAGGAUAAUAGGUGGAAAAUGCCAACACAAGAAGGAAAAAUACUCCUUAGAAAAAGAAAAAAAGUAGUCUUCAUUCAACAAACCCAAAAGAAGAUAGCCAUACAAACAUAAAACAUCAAAAAUAACAGGAAGCAACAAUCACUAUUCCUAAAUAUCUCAUAACAUUAAUGGAUUCAAUUCCCCAAUAAAAAGACAUAGACUAACAGACUGGAUAUGCAAACAGGAUCCAACAUUUUGCUACAUACAGGAAACACACCUCAAUAUCAAAGACAGUGUCUGAGAGUAAAUGGCUAGAAACAAUUUUCCAAGCAAAUGGUCCCAAGAAACAAGUUGGAGUAGCCAUUCUAAUAAAUGAGAAAAUAGGCUCGGAAAGGUCAAGCUACCAGUUCAAGGUUCACAAAGUAAAUACACACUAAAGUUGGGAUUUGAGUUAGUCUUUCAAGGUUCAAACUCUUCAUUACACAACAGCAGAUGGAUUCAUCAAGUAGAAUGGAGUAGGGCUGGAAAAUGAUGAGGGAGCAUGCUAGAAGAGACAAGGGCAGGAAGUACAUCUAAGAGGCAGGCCUAAAAAGAGGGAGACUGAAAGGUGCAAAGAACUCUGUUAGUGCUUGCUGUACUGAGAAACAACAGCCAGAUACUCCACAAAGAAUGGAGCCACUCCAGUGCUUCACAAAGAGUGAUUUAAGAGCUAAAUGGUAUCUUCUGAAGUUCCAUCUGGUCAUUUGGUAACUUUGGAAAUAGUAGUGGUGAAGCAAGCACAGGGAGAAGAUAAAAAGGUUGGUAGCUCCCUUACCAAUGGAUUAGAAAAGUGAGCCAACUAAUUGCCCCCAGCCUGCCCUGUUCCCUGCCCUCCAAAAAGGUUGGCUGCAAGAAUGCAUUGGCAAGAAUGUAUCGAUGACUGAUGAACUGAUUAUUCUGCCCAGAAUCUCUAUCAGUGAUUCUCAAUCUUCCUAAUGCUACAACCCCUUUAACAUAGUUCCUCAAGUUGUGCAGACCCCCUCCCCCCCAAAAAUUUUGUAGUUUUAUUGUUUGUUUUUAACUGCUAGAUAAAGCUGGACAUAUUUAGGAUGCUAUGUGUUGUUUCUACACAGGUGUUCCUUGUACAGUGUUUAAAUCACUGUGACCACAUCUAUCUUCUCAAAUAGUUAUCAUUUCUUUCUAUUAACAUCAUUCAAAUCCUUUCUUGUUAAUUUAAAAAAAUACAGCAUCAACUAUAGUCACUUUACUGUGCAAGUAUAGAUUUAGAAUCAUUUGUGUAAGUAACAGGUAACCCAAACACAAAAGUUCCAUUCUCCGCUCACUUUCUUGCUUCUCACACUUUAUUUUAUUUACGUGUAUAUGUGUAUCUAUGUGAGCACAUGUGGGUCACCAGAAUUGAUUUUUCUCUUCUCUAAUACAAGGUAUUAAUCUCCCUACCCCCCUCAUUGUUUUUUCUCUUCUUUAAGACAGGGCCAUAAUCUCCCUAUCACUGCCCUCUUCCUACUUUCUUCAGCCUCUGGGAGCCACUACUCACUUUCUUCUAAGAGACCACGGGGGGAAUAAAAGAAAGAAUAAGGUGUAUGUGCAUGAGUGUCAGGAUGGUGCUGGAAAGAUGGUGUCUUAGUUAGGGUUACUAUUGCUAUGAUGAAACACUAUGACCAUAUUAUGUUCCAUCACUGAAAAAUGUCAGGACAGGAACUCACACAUGGCAGGAAACUGGGGGCAGGUAUGAUGCAGAACAUGCUGCUUACUGGCUUGUUCCUCUUGGCUUCCUCAACCAAGAACCCAGAACCAUCAGCCCAGGGAUGGUGGUCCCACCCACAAUGGACUAAGCUCUCUCCUCUAUGAGUCACUAAUUAAGAAAAUGCAUCACAGGUUUGUCUAUAGUCCCAUCUUAUGGAGACAUUUUCUCAACUGAGGUUCCCUCUUCUCUGAUGAUUCUAGUUUGUGUUCAGUUGACAUAAAAUUAAUUGGAAUAGAUGGCUCGUGGUUAAGAGCACUUCUCGUAUGCAUUUGGUGUACAUAAAUAUAUGUAGGCAAAAUAUUCAUAAAUAUAAAAUAAAAAUCUAAGUGAGCAUAUUUGGGCAGAGGAUGGUAGUGAAGCCCAUAGGGCUGGAGUUACAGGUGGUUGUGAGCUGCCUGACAUGGGUGCUCUGGAAGAUCAGCAAGUGCUCUUAAGUUCUGAGCCAUCACUUCAGCCACAGAGUCUCACCUACCUUCUCUGCACACACAGGGGGAAAGCUCAUCUAUGUAUUAAUGCUUCAAGGUUCUUUUUGUGGUUGUUGUUGUGUCCCUUUAUUGUUUGUUGUUGUUUUUGUGUGUCUGGUAUGCUGCAUACAAGUGAGUGUGUAGAUGUGCACACAUACUAAGGCCAGGUCAAGAAAAUGGGUGUCCUCCUUCAUCAUUCUCUGAUUUGUAGCUUGAAGACAGGGUCUGUCACUUAACCCGGAGCUCACCCUUUCAGUGAAGCUGGUGGAUUCUUGGGACCCUCUUGUCCUCUGUUCGCCUCCCCAUCAAUGCUGGGUUUGCAGGCAUGUGAAGCCUAUGCCUAGCUUUUUAAAGUGGGUGCUGGGGAAUUUAAAAAUUAUAUUUUAUUUAUUAUGUACAUUUACAUAUGUAUAAAUGUAUAAGCAUGCAUGUGUAACAGUGUGUGUGUAUGUGUGUUGGUCAUAAAACAAUUUUUAGGAGUGUGUCUGCUCUUUGUACCAUAUGAUUCCUCUUCAUAUGACAUAAUUCUAUCUGCCUUGAUGUAAUUCAUUAUUUUUAUUGGGCAUUCAAAUGUCAAGAAGCACCCUCUAAAUUUACUGAAAAGUUAUAGGCUACUUUAACUAAGCAUAUUAAUUUAACUCCUGAUUCAGACUGGAGGAGUAGUAAUUAAAGAUCAAUUCUUAACUUGGUCAGUCCCAGACAGCAGACAAAAACUGCAACAGAGUAGUUGCACAUAUGGACUCACUGAAGUUAUGACAAUGUACACUAGACCUGCACAAGCUCAAGCUGGACAAAAUCUCAGCAUGGGGUGGAGGAAGAAAGGUAGGCACAAAUUCUCUCUCCUACCUGAUAAGUUACUGGUAUUCAAUAGCUGCUGGGAAAGGGGAAAUUACUUUCCUUUAAGGGUGGUGUACCAUACUCCUAGGCAAGCUCCCCUUUCAAGAACAUUUGGAGAGGAAUAGCUCAGCUGUUAAAAGCACUGACUGCCCUUCCCAAUUCCCAGCACCCACAUGAUGGCUCACAAUGCUCUCCCCUGGUAUGCAAAUGUACAUACAGACCAAACACAUAUAUAGAUAAAAGUACAUAAAUAAAUUUGAAAAAAAAAGAGAAUAUUUGGGGAAUACAAUUUGGACUUGAUAGCUUUCAAGAACUCGAACAACACUGAAGAGAACACAGAGUUGAGUGGGUAUGCAGGUGUGGGGUAGACCUGGGAGAGAAGCUGGGAGAGCAUGAAACUGUUGGGAGCAUGAGGGGAGGGGUACAAGGAAAUAAUUGCUCCAGCUUCACUUUCCUCCAUCCUUUCAACCUCUGCACUUGGAUUCCUGGACUGAACCCAAGAGAAGCCAGGAUAAUGGAGCUGGUUGGUACAGUACAUGUGGUACAGUCUGUGAGGACCAAUAUUCCUGAACAUAGAAUAUGUUCAGGCCACGAAAGCUCUCUAGCACUCUAUCUCAUGAACACAUGACUGUACAGUCAUGCGGGACCAGACUUCUUCUUAGUAUGAUGCUCAGCUGAAGUAGAUAGUUUAUUAUUAUUAUUAUUAUUAUUAUUAUUAUUAUUAAUCAUUUUUUGGAGCAGGGUCUGACCAUGUAGGCCUGGCUACUUUGGAACUCAUUAUGUAGACCAGGUUGGCUUUGAACUGACAGAGACCUACCUUCCUCUGCCUCCUGAGUUCUAAGGUUAAAGAUGUAUGCCACCAUACCUAGCAUUAAGUAGAAGUUAAUGUUGAGUAAGGGCUGCAAAGAUGGUUCAGCAGUUAAGAACACUAGCUACUCUUUCAGAGGAUCCAGAUUUGGUUCCAAGUACCCACACUGUAGCUCACAACUAUCUGUAACUCAAGUUCUAGUAGAACUGACAUGCUGGAAUACCUGGUACUUAGUCAUACAUGGAGGCAAAGCACUCAUGCACAUAAAAUAGAAAUACAAGAGUUGAAUAAAUAAUUGCAUGCUGCCCUGCUAAUUAAGGAUAAAGUCUACCAUUGUCUGGGCAGCCGUCUGGGCACUGUGCAAAAUGGAAGAUUCUUUUUACUCGCAGAGCACCUCCUUCUCUGAUCUUGUCUGGGGAAUUCAAGCCCUGCCACAUGCCUGUAGCUGCAGAAUGUCAUGUAGCCUUGGUUAAGAUUACAGGUCCAACUUCCUUUCUUCUGAUAGGAACACAUUUAGCCAGCACCAGAGAUCCCUGGAAUGAGGCUCCAUGCUAACGAGGCAGCUCAGUACCAAUGACCUUUGCCCAUCCUGGAUAUUCUGACCCCCCAAUCUUCACAACUAUAUAAGCCUUGAAUAACUCCAAAUAAAGUUGAUCUGUCUAUCUGGAGCUGUUCCCAGUGUCAUCAUUACUAUACACACUCCUGUGGCCUCCCCACGUCAUCCCUUGUCUCUGCUCCCUGCUCCUUUUGCCCUCAUGGACAUUAGCUGACCAUCCACGAGGGAGGGGCCCAAUCACAAAAUGGAAUGACAUUCAUUCAUUUAAAGCUUAUCUAUAAAACAUUGUGUUCUUAUCAUGUACAGAUAUGAUUUAAAUAUUCUUACUUAUUUUGUGAGAAUUUAAUAUAUGCAUAGAAUAUAGUUUGAUCAAAUUUUCAUCUCUCAUACUCCCUUCAGUUCAUUCCAGACCCUCUCUUACAUCACCCUCCCGGCUUCAUGUUCUCAUUUUAUGUCCCACAUAAGUGAGUUCAGUUAGUAUUGUUUUUAAAAACACAAAUAAGGUUUUGCUCACUGCCCCCUUCCAGUCACCCCUCCCACAUUCUUUACUCCAAUACCCUCUUUCCUCCUUCUCUGAGCUGGUGGGGGCCCUCUGGGUGUCCCCCCAACCCUGGCACAUCCAUUCUUUGUGAGGCUAGGUGCACCCUCUCACACUGAGAUCGGACAAGGCAGCCCAGCUAGAAGAACAUAUCCCAUGUACAGGCAACAGCUUUUGCACUAGCCACCCCCUAUGAAGACCAAGCUGCACAUCUGCUACAUAUGAGGGGGGAGGCCUAGGUUCAUCCUAUGUAUGUUCUUUGAUUGGCGGUUCAGGGUUCAGGUUAGUUGAGUUUGUUGGUCUUCCUGUGGAGUUCCUAUCCUCUCCGGGGCCUCAGUUCUUCCAAGCUCUAUCCACUGCUUGGCUGUGGAUGUCUGCAUCUGUCUGAGUCAGCUGCUGGGUGGAGCUUCUCAGAGGACAGCCAUGUUAGACUCCUGUCUUCAAGCAUAAUAGAGUAUUGCUUGUUGCUUUUAAGUGCCCAGGUGUGGGGCCAUCCACUAAAUCAUAGUUAGCCAACCUACCUGGAAUCACAUCCCUCAUGAAAACUGAUUCUCCUCCCCUAGCAGUCAUCCAUUGUCAGUCACUCUUCAGUUAGUGAUGAGAGCUUGUGUGUCCAUUCACACCUGUGCUGGAAUGUUGACUGGUUUCUUAAGCAGCUCACAACAGCUUCUCUGAGUUUAUGAGUGCAGAGGUCUUGUUAUGUGCAGAAGUCACUGUUUUUCCCAGGUCCUUCUUAACCUCUGGCUCUUACAAUCUUUCUACAUCUUCCUUGAUGGGAAGGGGUGUGAUGUAGAUGUCCCACUUUUGGCUGAACAUCCCACAGAUACUUCUUCCGUGUACUUACACCAGUUGCUAGUUUCCAUGUUAGUCUCCAUGCACUUCACAAAGCAACUUCUCUCAUGAGAUCUGAGAGCUGUGCUAUUCUGUGAGUAUGGACAUACAUGUUGAGAAGGCCGUUUGAUAUUAUGUCCAUUGAUUUUGAAAACUCUAGUUCUUGAUAAAUUAGACAUUUUCUAAGUAGUUUCUUUAAAUUAGCAUGCAAAAUUAUGGGCUUCAUGACGACAUUUUCAUUCAUAAUUUGUUUCGGUGAUUCUCAUCCUCCAAUCCCUUUCCACUUCUGCUAGCCCUCCCCCCACCCUCACAGUAGCUAGCUGUCUCCCUGCCUUCAAUAACUGUACUAUGAACAUGAGUGUAAAGUGCUACAUUCUUCUCAUGCCCUCCCUGCUGGGGACCAAACUUGGGGCCAUAUGCACACUAGGCUGUGCUCUACCUCCGAGUUCCAUCUCUAACCCCUAGUUUCUUUUUAUUUUAUUUUUUUAAAAAUAGUGUUACAAAGUUGUUCAGGAUGGCCUUGAAGUCUCUUUGUAGUCCAGCUUUAGCUUGAAUUUGUAAUCCUUUUGAUACAGAUGGUAUUCAGCUUGCUGAAUAGCUGAGUUUACAAGCCUGUACCAUCAGAAGUGGCUUGGUUUUUCUUUCUUUCUUUCUUUCUUUCUUUCUUUCUUUCUUUCUUUCUU